UGUCAAUUGAAUUGAACGUUCUAAACAGGUAACGCAACCCCAUGAUGACAAGAACUGCCCUUAAGAAGGGGUAGUUUACCGUUAAAAUCUGAACUGCCUGUACCGUCCAUGGUUUCAAAUAAUUUAAUGCCUAAAUAUCUCCUGACUCAACUGCCAAAACAGUAAUUACCUGUUUAGUGCUAAUAUAAUCCACUUCGUAAACCCUUUUUUCUCACCUCGUAAUCUCCACCAUUUGCUUUUGCUUCCAAGAAAAUCCAAAAAGAAUCCAUCGAUAAUUCCAGCGUCAAUGUGUCACUCAAUACCCGCUUAAUCACCUGUGGAAGUCCUAAAUCCUGAUCUUCUUUGGCCAAACUACAUUGCCAUCGAGAACCCUUUUCAUUUUGGGUACCAUCCAUGGCAAUAGUUAGAAAUUCUAGCUUCGCUCUUACAUUUCAUACUUCAGUCCUUGCGAAGAGCCAGAGUGGUGGUUUGAACAAGGGGGUUUUUGGUCUUCCAGUAUCUGGUCAUGGGGUUUCUUGGAAUGUGAGGCAAGUGAAGAGUGGAGCUAUUAGGCAUGGGGUUGUGCGUGCAGUAGCAGAAAUGAGUACUAAAAAAAAGUCCAAGAGUUUGGAUCUUUUGGGUUUGGAUGUGGUGGCAGAGGGAGAGCUGAGAGAAAAAGGGUUCUUGGGGAUGAGGAAGACGAAGCUGGUUUGUACAAUUGGGCCGGCUUGUUGUUCAUCGGAGGAAUUGGAGAGAUUGGCAAUGGGAGGGAUGAAUGUGGCUAGGCUUAACAUGUGCCAUGGCACAAGGGAAUGGCAUCGCAAUGUGAUUAGGAGGAUCAAGAAAUUGAAUGAGCAAGGAAGGUUUUGUGUUUCUGUGAUGAUUGAUACUGAAGGGAGUCAGAUUUUUGUGGUGGAUCAUGGAGCUCCUUCCUCUCUUAAAGCUGAGGAAGGUUCAAUUUGGUUGUUUACCGCAAAAAAAUUUGAGGGUUCUCUUCCAUUCACAGUUCAAGCAAACUAUGAAGGGUUUUCUGAAGGAAUUAUAGUUGGUGAUGAACUGGUUAUUGAUGGUGGAAUGGCAAGCUUUGAAGUAAUUGAAAAGAUUGGACAUGAUUUGCGUUGUAAGUGCACAGAUCCUGGUCUGCUUCUGCCUGGAGCCAAAUUGAGCUUUUGGAGAGAAGGGGUGCUUGUGGAGAGGAAUUAUGGACUGCCUACUUUAUCAGUGAAGGAUUGGGCUGAUAUUGAGUUUGGAAUUUCUGAAGGUGUUGAUUUGAUUGCUAUGUCAUUUGUUAAUGAUGCUGAUUCUGUCAAGCACCUAAAGAACUGCCUCUCCAGUAAUUCUGCAAAAUCAAUAAAAGUAUUAGCAAAGAUUGAGAGUUUGGAUUCUCUUCAGAAAUUGGAAGAAAUUGCAGAGGCUUCUGAUGGAAUCAUGGUGGCUCGUGGUGACCUAGGAGUAGAAAUCCCUCUUGAACAGAUUCCAACUGUUCAAGAAGAAAUAACUCAUAUCUGCAGGCAACUAAACAAGCCUGUGAUCAUAGCUUCUCAACUUCUUGAGUCAAUGGUUGAAUAUCCGACCCCAACACGUGCUGAGGUGGCAGAUGUUUCUGAAGCAGUUCGACAAUAUGCCGACGCAUUGAUGUUGUCUGGUGAGUCAGCUAUUGGAUCAUAUGGAGAGAAAGCUCUUUCUGUCUUGCGGAUGGUCAGCAAUCGAAUGGAACU
Molecule: unclassified non-coding RNA, 1697 nt
Filed under: Hevea brasiliensis (rubber tree)
Lineage: Eukaryota; Viridiplantae; Streptophyta; Magnoliopsida; Malpighiales; Euphorbiaceae
Source: RNAcentral